AUGGGGAUGCAUGUCCCAUCUUGGCAGCUGAGGAGAUAAGGUUAUCUCUGCGCUGAUGGGUACUGUCUUGCAGUUAGUGUUGCCAGCUGUCCCACUGCUUUUAUCAGAUCUCUUGGCUGGGUGAGUUUGUUUGUUCCUGGGUGGAUGGCACUAUGUUUUGGCUUGUUCAGCCUUGUACUUGAUAAAACUUGUCUGGCCUGAUCUGCAUUCAAGCGUUUAACUUGUAGUACUCUUUCCCUCUUGUGGGAAUGAGUGUUUCCCAGCCAGCAAUCUGAAUCCAAUAGAAGGAACGGAUCGCUUGUGGCUUGUCUCUCCCAAGAAACCUGGGGGCAGGCGUAGACGGAAGGCCGGAUUCAGCCGGGGGUGCAGAGUGCACCUGCAGGUGUAGCAAGUAGGGCAGAAAGUCCAUUGAAAGGGGGAAUUGUGGCAAGCCAAAGCAGCCCCAAUCCCCCUGCUAUAGGGAGGCUGGCAUGGGGCAGCUCCGCCGGAAGAGCCAAGGGCUCUUGUCAGAACAGUUAGGCAGUUUCUUGGCCCAGCCAACUGCUGGUGGAUUCAAAAGCUGCCCUGCCCUGAUGGAAACCCUGGGGGAGCACACUGGGAGUUGCUGUCACCUGUCCUUCCUUGGGGAACAGGGAGGAUGUAAUGAAUGCAGAAUCUGCCAUAUGCUCUCAGGAUCCCCCUCCGAUCUGCGAUAACUAUAUGGUUGUUGUCUUAGGCCUGGUCUGCACUAGAAAAUUAGGUCGCGUUAACGACGUUGGUCGGGGUGUGAAAAAUGCACACCUCUGAGCAGCGUUGUUAAGCCGACCUAAGUCCUGGUGUACGCAGCACUAGGUCAAUGCAAGAAUUCUUCCGUUGACCUAGCUACUGCCUCUCGGGGAGGUGGAUUACCUAUGCCAACAGGCGAAUCCCUGCUGUCAGCGGAGGUGGUGUCUACACUGAAGUGCUACAGCUGUGCCACUGUAGUGUUUUAAGUGUAGACAAGCCCUUAGUUCUCCCCUGGUGUUUGCAGCUCAAGUUCAGCUCUGUUCCCAGUAGCUUCAUUUAUUUUUGGUGUUUCUCUUGGCAGCAUGCUCAUUGCAUCGACCUGGGCUUCUCUUAGUUCUCUUUUGGCUAUCUGAGGUUCCCAUUUUUAGAGGUCUGUUUCCCAGCACUGAACUCAGUCAUUUGGGGAUUUCAGUUCCCUUUUCUAGCAGGCUUUUAUUUUCAGUUUCCAUCCAUUUCGGUUUUGCCGUUUCAUUCUGUAGGCAAUCAAAGGGAAUUUGUUCUAGUUAAUUUCAUAACAACAUAUGGUUUCAACAUGACAUCCUCUCCUGCCGAUCUAAGCCGUCAUUUAAGCCCGAAUCCUGCUAGGUGCUGAGUGCCUUCAGACCCCAUUGAAGCUGGUGGGAAUUAAGGAUGCUUGGCAUUUUUCUGCAUGCUCUCAGCACCUUGCAGGAUCCGUCCCCUUGGACUCUGGGGAUUUGAUGACCAGGGAACAGACAUUGUUUGCUCUCCCUCUUGAUGGCUCAUGAGCUACGAAUUCUUGUGGCUUUUCUCAACAGUGUUAUUUGAACUUUAGAAGCUUCUCCUUUUUUUCCAGUUGAUGAGCUACCCUUGGCAUUUCUGUCACAUGUGUGACUCAGACAGAUACUUUCUGCCUGGCUUAGGGAUUUCUGUGAGUCUUCAGAUUUGACUAGGCUGCCUUGGGUCAUUGCUGUCCCAUUCUGAUGAAUAGCCACAGUCACUGAUAAUGUGCUAUCAGCGUUGGCUGCACCCGGCUGGAUGUAAUGUGCGUGCAGUGAUUUGUCUGUCACCACCAUCACGUUUCGGAAAUGGUAUUCUCCUCCCCUUCCUAUCCAGAACUGUUGCUGCCGUACACUGUUAAUCAGCUGCCCUGUUCCAUCCCAGAGGUGGCUGCCUUUCAGUGUUGUGAUUCCUAUGUACAGUUUGUAAAGCCCUUUGGGAUGAACAGGACUAUAAAUACACCCUUCAGCGGCGAUUCCUCUGUGACUCACCUUCACGAACCCAGAAAGAACCAGAACGAGAUUCUCAUGUGCUGGGACUUCUUUUGGGGCCCGAGACUUGAUUCUCCACCAGCCUGACCUCCAGCUAAAGGGGAGACUACACCCUGCAUCUCAGUUUUCAGAUGCAAGUCAGCAGUGUGGCGAUGCUAUGGUGCAGAGACAAGCCAGAGAUCCACCUGUAGUCUCUCCAUCAAAGACAGUGGAGGCCUCCCUGCAGUUACAAGCUCUGCUGACACAUGGUGGGAUUCAUUCCGAGCCCGGCGCAGGGACCAAGAGGGCAGGCAAUGCACCUCCCCUAACUUGGGGCUGAUUUGGCCCUUUGGUAUCAGUCAGGGCAGCUGUAAUUUACACUAUGGUUGCAACAAUCUCUGUAGACCACUGCCAAAUAGCUGGCAUUCGGGAAUGCCCUGUCCUCUCCUGCUCCUCCACCAAUGCCCCUGCUACAGGGUUAUGGAGCUGGCUACGCUGACUAUGUGCCCAUUGGAGACGCCUUCUACAUUGGGGGUAUUCCCUGAAUCUAUAUGGCACAUGGCAAGGAUGAAUUCCCCCCUCCCCAAUGCACCAGGAAAAGGGCUCUCUCUCUGUGUAUAUAUAUAUGUUUCAGCUGUGGUGCUGAAAGGCCUCUUGCUGUGGUCCAGGGCCCCACAAAACCUUAAUCUGCUUUGCAAGGACGGUGUGAAUUUGCAUGCAGCCUCUAUCUGAAGUGACAGGGCAGAGGGGGAUUUCUGGAGUAACUUCUGUCUUUCAAGAUCUUGCUCCCUUUUUUGGGGAAACCCCCAUCCCCUCCCAUCAACCACAUCGGAGCGUCCCCUCUGCGCCUCAACAAGAUCAUUUCCCUCCAUGAAAUCUGACAGUCCCAGUUUCCCAUUGAAUUGUAGCUGUUACUGUGGGAGGGGAGGCUAAAGAGAUCAGCCAGGCCAAUGCUUCCUCCUGGGAGGAGAGCAGCUAGGACAUUACUUUUUUGUGGGGUGGGAGUGGGAAGGAGCAAAUGGGGUGAUGGUCCUGUGAUGUUGACAGACCAGGUGCCAGCUCUUGGCAAGGCCCCUAGGCCUUACUGAACACUGACAAAUGCAUAGCUGGAUUAGUCUAGGUGUUAGUAUUGUUAAAAUAGGUAUUAGAUUUAUAAAAAUGUAUUUUGUGUUUAGACUUUAUGAAAUGCUUGUGAGUUUCUGCAUGUGUUAAUCUCACUUACAAUAGCUGUAUCCCAUGUUAGACAAUAUUAAAGAGUUGGCUCUGAAAUUCUAAAUCUGGAGAGCAGCAUUACCAAGUGUGAAAUACUAUUUUGCCACAAGAGGUCUCAUCUCCUGUCCAACAAAAGAAGGCCCAUAGACACCAGACAAGUCAUUGUGGAACAUCAGAGGACAAAAUACUUUGCUGAUUGUUUCCCCCUCCAGCCAUGAACAGGGGACAUGCAUGUGGACUCAUCCCAUCAGCUUGAACUCUGGGGGAAGCGAAUAAAAAUCCCUGACAAGGAGAAACUGUAUCUUUAUGCUGCUUGGACUCUGAGGGGAAAGGGUUACUAAGCAUAAGCAAAAGAUCCCCAGUGCUUGGCCUGGGUUAGCUCUUAAGGACAUAUAGAGCUUGCUUAUUAUAGAUGCUUCUGCCACCGGUUGGAACCUAAGAAUGUAACUCGUGUGUGUGUGUGUUUACCUGCUUUAACCUUGUCAAUAACUCCCUUACUUCUUUUUCUUAGUUAAUAAAUUUGUAAUUAGUUUAUUAUAGGCUAGUUUA
Molecule: long non-coding RNA, 3734 nt
Organism: Dermochelys coriacea (leatherback sea turtle)
Lineage: Eukaryota; Metazoa; Chordata; Testudines; Dermochelyidae
Exons: 3
Source: RefSeq, a predicted model, not a curated record